AUGUUUCCCCAGGAGUGAUAUGGAUUUUUUUAUGUCUCUCAGGAGAUGUACAGGCCCCCAGAACCUGGGGGGAAAAGGUACCUAGAAGAAGUAACUUGGAGAAUUCUAUGCAUCGAGUUUCACUAGGGCCUCACUAUGUAGCCCUGACUAGCCUGGACCAGACUACAGAAAGACCCACCUGCUGGGAUUAAAGACCACACUGUCCCAGGUUCCCUUCUGCAAAACAAAGAGGUUCUUGAUCGGAGGCCUAGUUCUCAACCAGAUCGCAACCAUUCAGAACAGUUCCCCUGGGCUGGUAGAGUGCCUGUCUACACAGCAUGGAAGACUGUGGGCUUGACUCCAACACCAUGAAGAGGUAGUGCAGAGGGAGAGGUCUGAACCACCAAACUCACUUAAUUCAGAGACUCUCAUAAAGGACACACGGAAAGGCCAUACACACUAAAAUGUGCGUGUAUUAACAAACCUAAUUCCUUGGUUGUUUGUUUGCCUGGACAGGGGCUCACUAUGUAGAACAGGCUGGCCUUGACUCGAAUAGAUCUGCUUGUCCUGAGUGCUGGGGUUAGUGUUUGACCUUGAGGCAGCAUGUGCCAGCAUCUCACUCCCAUUGUAUGGGUUUUCCACCCCCGGUUGAUGGACAAUGCUCUUGCAGGCAAAUGUAUGGAUACCCAUGCUGUAAGUCUAAGCUCUGCCCACACCCCUCACAGCCACCCCCUUGGCUACCUGCUAGGCCUAGAGUGCACACACGGUUCUGCUCCUGGUAGGCUGCACAACCUUCAGAAGCAAGUGGAAUUAUUUGGACAAGGAAUUUGGGGUCCCCUGCAUCUAUCUGAAAGAUGGUCCGGUAGGAGGGUAGAACUGUGGGUACAUUCCCUCGGCCCUGUGGAGGGGGCACCGUGGAGGGGCCUGUAUAGCCCUGGGUCUUGGCAUCUGCUUCAGAAUGAGAACCAAGCUGCAACCUCACUACUCUUCAGUGGCUCACACUUAGUGCUAUUAAGUACACCAGCUGUGCAGCUGACAUUGCCAGGUCCAGAAUGGUUUUGUUGGUUUGUUCGUUUGCUUGUUCGUUUUCUUAAUGCUGGAUCCUGAGCUCAGGGGCCUGCUCAUGUUCUACCCCUGAGCUUCACAGGACACAACUCAACUGUCGCCUUCCCUGAGUGAUCCUGCUCUCUCACCAAGCACAAGUGGGUAGCUCACCCCAUGCUGUCAGGACGUCUGCUCCCUUCCCUGGGGAGGCCCUGUGUUAUGCAGUUCAGGACCUCAUCCUAGCACCCAGUGUGGUGUGUGGCGUUCAGAAACGUUUGGAGAUGGCUAAGUGAGAGAAACUGGGUCUAGAGCAUCCCCUUCUCCCCACUGCCUCUUUCUCAUCCCCACAUCCAGCCAUGCCCCUCAAGACUUUCUCUGGGAAAGAGUGGAAAGGAAAGCAAGCCUGUAGUGCUGGGCAGUAGUGGUGCAUCUCUGAGUUCGA
Long non-coding RNA from Onychomys torridus (southern grasshopper mouse), 1465 nucleotides. RefSeq lists it as uncharacterized. NCBI's taxonomy places the organism in Eukaryota, Metazoa, Chordata, Mammalia, Rodentia, Cricetidae. The record is from RefSeq and is a predicted model, not a curated record. The transcript is spliced from 3 exons.